ACCCAACCACAACCUACAAUUAAAGUACCAAUUGUCCGCCAAACAACUACGAGUCCUAACUUAAAACUUAAAAGACUUGACGGUACUUCACCACCAACCUAGAGGAGCCUGUCUAAUAACCGAUAACCCACGAUUAACCCCACCCUAUCUUGCCCACAGUCUAUAUACCACCGUCACAAGCUUACCUUAUAAAAGAAACAAAGUGAGCUAAAUAGCCUAACACUAAAAUGACAGGUCGAGGUGUAACUUAUGAUAGGGAUAAGAUGGGCUACAUUCUCUAACAGAGGAUACGAACGAUACUAUGAAUAUAGUACCUGAAGGAGGAUUUAGCAGUAAGCCAAGAAUAAAACACUUAACUGAACAUAACGCAAUGAAGUACGUACACACCGCCCGUCACCCCUGCAGUAUU
This 409-nucleotide ribosomal RNA is filed under the name Causus defilippii (snouted night adder). RNAcentral describes it as "partial 12S small subunit ribosomal RNA". The record is from RNAcentral. Lineage: Eukaryota; Metazoa; Chordata; Lepidosauria; Squamata; Viperidae.